CUAAUUUCUAAGAAAUGACUGGUCAGGCUAGACUGGUAAAACAUUACCCAGCUCUCAGCUUUCCCUGCAUUGUGUCAAGGGACCAAGGAGUAAUAAGAGGACUGAUUAUUCUUUUGUGACUAUUAAAAGUAGUGGAGCGAGCAAGAGACCUACAGCACGUGAUGUAGUAGAAAACAAAUGUAAUCAAUGUUUUCAUGGCAACAUAAGCAGGAGCUUUUGUGUUCUUCUGUUGCUCUCCCCAGUGUGGAACUGGGAUUCUGGAGGGAUGUUCAGGAAAGCAAGGAUUGAGCUUUGGUCCCAUUUCUGUAGUUGAUGGACAGAACUGAAGAAUUUUUGCUCACUUGUGCAGAUAGAAAAGUGCUUAAAUCCUCAUCUACUUUUCCUAUCCAUCCAUGGCAACUUUCAAGUGUAUAUCACCAUUUCUCUCACCCUCUUGGACAAACAGAAAAAUAUCUCAUGAAAUAGCAUUUAUGUUGCAGUCAUGCUUACAUAACA
Phascolarctos cinereus (koala) is the source of this 495-nucleotide non-coding RNA. NCBI's taxonomy places the organism in Eukaryota, Metazoa, Chordata, Mammalia, Diprotodontia, Phascolarctidae. The record is from RefSeq and is a predicted model, not a curated record.